AGUGAACGCUGGCGGUAGGCCUAACACAUGCAAGUCGAACGGCAGCACAGUAAGAGCUUGCUCUUACGGGUGGCGAGUGGCGGACGGGUGAGGAAUACAUCGGAAUCUACUUUUUCGUGGGGGAUAACGUAGAGAAACUUACGCUAAUACCGCAUACGACCUACGGGUGAAAGCAGGGGAUCUUCGGACCUUGCGCGAUUGAAUGAGCCGAUGUCGGAUUAGCUAGUUGGCGGGGUAAAGGCCCACCAAGGCGACGAUCCGUAGCUGGUCUGAGAGGAUGAUCAGCCACACUGGAACUGAGACACGGUCCAGACUCCUACGGGGGGCAGCAGUGGGGAAUAUUGGACAAUGGGCGCAAGCCUGAUCCAGCCAUACCGCGUGGGUGAAGAAGGCCUUCGGGUUGUAAAGCCCUUUUGUUGGGAAAGAAAAGCAGCAGGUUAAUACCCCGCUGUUCUGACGGUACCCAAAGAAUAAGCACCGGCUAACUUCGUG
Molecule: ribosomal RNA, 492 nt
Filed under: uncultured bacterium
Lineage: Bacteria
Description: partial 16S ribosomal RNA
Rfam family: Bacterial small subunit ribosomal RNA
Source: RNAcentral